Vigna radiata var. radiata (mung bean) is the source of this 1336-nucleotide RNA transcript. It is a transcript of the gene named kinesin-like protein KIN-7K, chloroplastic, with no coding region annotated. The record is from RefSeq and is a predicted model, not a curated record. The transcript is spliced from 5 exons. NCBI's taxonomy places the organism in Eukaryota, Viridiplantae, Streptophyta, Magnoliopsida, Fabales, Fabaceae.
GGGUUUUAUUUUCUUUAAUUGCUUUUAAUGCAGACUCCAGGAAGAGAGUUCUUACUCCGAGUUUCCUAUCUAGAAAUAUAUAACGAGGUAAAAAUGGAACAAACUGNAUUCACACAUCCCAUCUUCUGUGCUCUGAACAUGUUUAAAACAUAGUUCAUCAUUAAAUGCAUCACUUUAGGCCUUACCUCAAUUAUAUUUUUCUAUGAUCUGCAUUUUGAGAUACUGAUUAUCACGUUACAUGUUAUACUGUGUGAUAUAUUUCUUCUUUUUCUUUUUUGUUUUAAUAGACGUUUUCCUGUUUCUACUUCUGUCAGGUGAUAAACGAUUUGCUCGACCCUACUGGCCAAAAUUUACGUGUUAGAGAAGAUGCACAGGGAACUUAUNUGGAGGGUAUAAAGGAAGAAGUUGUUUUGUCACCUGGACAUGCCCUUUCCUUUAUUGCUGCUGGGGAAGAGCAUCGUCAUGUUGGAUCAAAUAAUUUUAAUCUUUUCAGCAGCCGAAGUCACACAAUUUUUACACUUGUAAGCAUUCUUGAAAUUACAGUAUCGAAAUUUUGUGUUGUAGCAACACGUGUACACGGAGUCUUAUUUCCAAAGGAAAUAUAUCUACAUCACAGCAUGAGGCCUCAUGAUUUUUAAUGGCUAAGGGACUCAAAUUAUGCUUACACACUGCAUUUAUCACGUGCUGGUUAAAUGUUUAAUUUUUCCUCAGCUAAUGUAUUUGGAUUCCUGGACGGUAAGCUAUUUUUUGUUUCAAUUCUAAUCUGCAUUGUUAUUGCUAUUUUUAAAUACUGUCUUCUUGCUUGCAUGCAUUAGGGAUAAUUAAUUUUGAUUUUUCUUUUCCUUUCUUUUUAUCUAUGGGGAAAAUUAUGAGACUNGUAGUUUACUGGCAAAGGCUAUGGAUGAAGGGCGAUUUUUUGAGAAGUUGAAAGGCCCCAAAAAUACAAAUUUAAAAAUUGAAGUAAAAAGAUUAUAUUUUCUGUUGACUACCAAAGAAUGUGUGUCAGACAUUCCUAAAGAUACCUAGUGUAAAGUCAGUUUGGGAGUUGGUUUCUUUUAGGUAAAUGACAAGAAUAUUGGGAGNAGGAAAAUAUAAGAGAAGAGAUGCCAGCUGUCGGGAGUUAUUCAACAUUUUUCACCCCUACGAUCCAGUAGCAUACAGGUUUGAUAAGAUUUCAGUCCCAAUGAAGUAUCCAUAAUAUAGUGAUUAAAUGAGUUCCUUAGUCACUAGUGAACCUUGUAAAUUUAAUUUUUUACCAUCAUUUUAUUUGUACAAUAUUCCUUUGAUUGUUUCGGUGCCCAGAUUCUUUUUGUUUAAUAAAUUCAUACGGUGUAUG